Molecule: ribosomal RNA, 502 nt
Filed under: uncultured bacterium
Lineage: Bacteria
Description: partial 16S ribosomal RNA
Rfam family: Bacterial small subunit ribosomal RNA
Source: RNAcentral
GACGAACGCUGGCGGCGUGCUUAACACAUGCAAGUCGAACGGUGAAGGGGUCUGCUUUUGUGAGCCCUGGAUGAGUGGCGAACGGGUGAGUAACACGUGAGUAACCUGCCCCCUUCUUCUGGAUAACCGCAUGAAAGUGUGGCUAAUACGGGAUAUUCUGGGUCUGUCGCAUGAUGGGUCUGGGAAAGAUUGCGCCUUUGGGUGUUUUUGGUGGGGGAUGGGCUCGCGGCCUAUCAGCUUGUUGGUGGGGUGAUGGCCUACCAAGGCGGUGACGGGUAGCCGGCCGGAGAGGGUGGACGGUCACACUGGGACUGAGACACGGCCCAGACUACUACGGGAGGCAGCAGUGGGGAAGAUUGCACAAUGGGCGCAAGCCUGAUGCAGCGACGCCGCGUGAGGGAUGGAGGCGUUCGGGUUGUAAACCUCUUUCGCCAGUGAAGCAGGCCUGCUCCUUGUGGGUGGGUUGACGGUAGCUGGAUAAGAAGCGCCGGCUAACUACGUG